Colossoma macropomum (tambaqui) is the source of this 579-nucleotide non-coding RNA. The record is from the annotation of a RefSeq genome assembly. NCBI's taxonomy places the organism in Eukaryota, Metazoa, Chordata, Actinopteri, Characiformes, Serrasalmidae.
AUGUUCUUCACAUCUUUACUGCUGCUGCUCACUGUAACAUGUGUCCACUCUCAGGUUGUUCUCACACAGUCUGAGGGGUCAGUAACAGUGGCUCCAGGUGGAUCCCACAAACUGACCUGUGCCUGCAGUGGAUUCAGUUUGGGGGGCGCUUAUAUGCACUGGAUCCGACAGGCUCCUGGAAAAGGACUGGAAUGGAUUAUUUACUAUUAUUCUGAAAGUGCCAAAAGGUCAGCUCAGUCAGUUCAGGGCAGAUUCACAGCAUCCAAGGACAGCUCUAAUCUCUACCUGCACAUGAGUCAACUGAAGCCUGAAGACACUGCAGUGUAUUACUGUGCUAGAGAAGCUCACUGUGAUAGAACUCAUACAGACAGCUGUGUUCACUGUGAGGAACUGACUCAGCCUGGUUCCAUGGUGGUCCGUCCAGGCCAGAGUCUGACCAUCGACUGCAAGGUUUCAUAUUCAGUUACCAGUGAAUGGACAGGCUGGAUCCAGCAGCCUGCAGGAAAAGCUCUGGAGUGGAUUGGAGCUAUUGCUAGUGGUGGGGACGCAUAUUACAGUGAUAAACUGAAAAACAAGUGA